Molecule: long non-coding RNA, 1152 nt
Filed under: Olea europaea subsp. europaea
Lineage: Eukaryota; Viridiplantae; Streptophyta; Magnoliopsida; Lamiales; Oleaceae
Source: RNAcentral
CUGUGAAGUUUCAUGAGGCUGUUUUACAUGAUGUUUUAUGCACUUCGCUCAGAUGUCCAAGGUUAAGUUGUUCAGUUCACUAUAUUUUUUACAGUUUUUUCAAUUUUACCUUUAAAUGCUGCUGACUUGUAACAUAAAAGAUCAAUAAGAGGGGCAUUGGAAUUUAUCUACCUGAUCUUAACAACUGAGAGUAAGAGCAUGUAGAUUAGUAUUUAGACAACUGAAAGGAUUGCUAGGAACUCAUAAUAUUCAUUAAGAUCUCGCUGAAGUAGAGAGUGCACUAACUUUUGGAGCUGUACAAAUUUUCCAUGGUCUAAUUUUUCUAGUAACUUCUGACUACGAGAAGGGAGAAUCAAAUAAGAUAGUAAUGCAUGUCAUAGAGCAAAUUGGAUGAAAGGGAUAGGUGUUGUACGAUUAUGUAUUUAGAACAUAUUGCUAAUUAUAAGACAAGUUCUAUAAACAUUUAUUAUACCAAUUAUGCAUUAUUUAAGUGAAUGUUUUGGCUGUUGGCUUUUCUAUUUAGUGAUUAUGAUAAGAAAAAAAUUCUUAUGGUUCCUAUGUUUUACUGAUUAUCUCCAUUCUUGUAAUGCUUUUAUAUUGUUUUGAUUUGAAACUUUUGCAUUGCGCAGAGGGGUUUUGAAGCUUUUCUGCUCAUUCUUGUUGCAUAUUUUCUGCAUAUAUUUCAUGUACCUGUUUUGUGUUUCUUUCUCUUUAGUAUUCUCGUGGAGAUCACUUGAGAUAUUUCUUUAGGAAUUUAAACACAUAAAAGGAAACUUGUACUCAAUGAGGGAACAAGUAGAGCUACUAAAUUCUGUAAGAGAUGAAUAUGAUAUCAGCAACCGCGAGUGCUUGGAUUGUUGGUACUAACAAAUAUGUUUCCGUUGUCUCAUAUGCUGCAAAAUGAAUUUAUCCAGGCAUCUGGGAGUAUGUCUUCAGAAGCACAAUUACUAUGCGAAAGAGCUGCCAUACAUGGAAGCAUACCUCGUGUACGACUUAAAACAGAUUAUUGAUUUUAAAGGCAAAUUCAUUCUGUGACAAUGAAACUCUUCAUAUUCUAUGGCCAAAAACCUAAAACAGAUUUAUCGAAUAAAUUGUUAGGGUUCAUGAUUUACUGACAGCGAACAAUUUGGACAGAAAACUCCAAGAUUGGCA